GAGUGAACGCUGGCGGUAGGCCUAACACAUGCAAGUCGAACGGCAGCACAGUAAGAGCUUGCUCUUACGGGUGGCGAGUGGCGGACGGGUGAGGAAUACAUCGGAAUCUACUUUUUCGUGGGGGAUAACGUAGGGAAACUUACGCUAAUACCGCAUACGACCUACGGGUGAACGCAGGGGAUCUUCGGACCUUGCGCGAUUGAAUGAGCCGAUGUCGGAUUAGCUAGUUGGCGGGGUAAAGGCCCACCAAGGCGAAGAUCCGUAGCUGGUCUGAGAGGAUGAUCAGCCACACUGGAACUGAGACACGGUCCAGACUCCUACGGGAGGCAGCAGUGGGGAAUAUUGGACAAAGGGCGCAAGCCUGAUCCAGCCAUACCGCGUGGGUGAAGAAGGCCUUCGGGUUGUAAAGCCCUUUUGUUGGGAAAGAAAAGCAGCAGGUUAAUACCCCGCUGUUCUGACGGUACCCAAAGAAUAAGCACCGGCUAACUUCGUG
This 493-nucleotide ribosomal RNA is filed under the name uncultured bacterium. Its description in RNAcentral is "partial 16S ribosomal RNA". It matches the Rfam family "Bacterial small subunit ribosomal RNA", at positions 27 to 507 of the family's 1533-position model. The record is from RNAcentral.